UCUCCGUAGGUGAACCUGCGGAGGGAUCAUUACAAGUGACCCCGGUCUUACCACCGGGAUGUUCAUAACCCUUUGUUGUCCGACUCUGUUGCCUCCGGGGCGACCCUGCCUUCGGGCGGGGGCUCCGGGUGGACACUCCAAACUCUUGCGUAACUUUGCAGUCUGAGUAAACUUAAUUAAUAAAUUAAAACUUUUAACAACGGAUCUCUUGGUUCUG
Molecule: unclassified non-coding RNA, 217 nt
Filed under: plant metagenome
Description: partial contains small subunit ribosomal RNA, internal transcribed spacer 1, and 5.8S ribosomal RNA
Source: RNAcentral